This 520-nucleotide unclassified non-coding RNA is filed under the name uncultured Glomus. Its description in RNAcentral is "SSU rRNA". It matches the Rfam family "Eukaryotic small subunit ribosomal RNA", at positions 569 to 1090 of the family's 1831-position model. The record is from RNAcentral. Lineage: Eukaryota; Fungi; Glomeromycota; Glomeromycetes; Glomerales; Glomeraceae.
AGCAGCCGCGGUAAUUCCAGCUCCAAUAGCGUAUAUUAAAGUUGUUGCAGUUAAAAAGCUCGUAGUUGAAUUUCGGGGUUAGUAGGUUGGUCAUGCCUCUGGUAUGUACUGGUCUCACUGAUUCCUCCUUCCUGAUGAGCCGUAAUGCCAUUAAUUUGGUGUUGCGGGGAAUUUGGACUGUUACUUUGAAAAAUUAGAGUGUUUAAAGCAAGCUAACGCUUGAAUACAUUAGCAUGGAAUAAUGAAAUAGGACGUUCGAUCCUAUUUUGUUGGUUUCUAGGAUUGACGUAAUGAUUAAUAGGGAUAGUUGGGGGCAUUAGUAUUCAAUUGUCAGAGGUGAAAUUCUUGGAUUUAUUGAAGACUAACUACUGCGAAAGCAUUUGCCAAGGGUGUUUUCAUUAAUCAAGAACGAAAGUUAGGGGAUCGAAGACGAUCAGAUACCGUCGUAGUCUUAACCAUAAACUAUGCCGACUAGGGAUCGGAUGAUGUUAAUUUUUUAAUGUACUCAUUCGGCGCCUUA